Molecule: ribosomal RNA, 497 nt
Filed under: uncultured bacterium
Lineage: Bacteria
Description: partial 16S ribosomal RNA
Rfam family: Bacterial small subunit ribosomal RNA
Source: RNAcentral
GAUGAACGCUGGCGGCGUGCCUAACACAUGCAAGUCGAGCGAACGGACGAGGAGCUUGCUGCUCGGAUGUUAGCGGAGGAGGGGUGAGUAACGUGUGGAUAACCCACCUAUAAGACUGGGAUAACCUCGAGACACCGGAGAUAAUACCGGAUGAACUGUUGAUCCCCAGGGUUCAAAAGUAAAGGACGGUCUUGCUGUCACUUAUAGAUGCAUCCGCGCUGCUUUAGCUAGUUGGUAAGGUAACGGCUUACCAAGGCAACGAUGCAUAGCCGACCUGAGAGGGUGAUCGGCCACACUGGAACUGAGACACGGUCCAGACUCCUACGGGAGGCAGCAGUGGGGAAUCUUCCACAAUGGGCGAAAGCGUGACAGAGCAACGCCGCGUGAGUGAUGAAGGGCUUCGGAUCGUAAAACUCUGUUAUUAGGGAAGAACAUAUGUGUAAGUAACUGUGCACAUCUUGACGGUACCUAAUCAGAAAGCCACGGCUAACUACGUG